Macadamia integrifolia is the source of this 5531-nucleotide long non-coding RNA. RefSeq lists it as uncharacterized. The record is from RefSeq and is a predicted model, not a curated record. Lineage: Eukaryota; Viridiplantae; Streptophyta; Magnoliopsida; Proteales; Proteaceae. The transcript is spliced from 2 exons.
ACCUUGGAAUUUUUGUCAUUAGUUAUUCCCUAAUAUGUGUUAAAAGGAACAUGAACUUCCUCUUACUCAGCUUAACAAAAGAUACUAGAAACAUAUCCACAGUUAUACAAAAUAUAUUGCUCUUCACAAGGGGAGUAAUUUAUGUUUUUCUUCAUUUGCUAUAAAUUUAUGAUUUUUUUCGGCCAAGGAUCAGCAAAUGAAUGAAUUAUAAAUAAAAAUGAUGUACAUGACUAAAGUCUAGGCAUACCGAGACUGAAAAAAAAAAUAUAUAUAUUAGACUUGGAACUAUAAUGUCAGCUAAAAGAUAUGCAUAAAUGCAGUGCUUAAGUUCAAAAUUAAAUGAACUGACAAGCAAUGUGUGAUGAUAUUUUUGAGUGCCUUGCAAGCUUCACAUGCUAAUUAGACUCUUGCAAAAUUUGACAGGAGAAUCUUGAGAUCCAAUCGUUAUUGACAUAAAUGAGUGGCAAACUAGGUUCAUUUAGUGACAAUCAAUAGAUAUAUCCAUUUAGUGAGUUUUGCUUUGAUGUUGAGAUAAAUGAGUGACAAACUAGGAAAUAAAAUAAGUAGUUAGUGCUUCUAGUUGAAUCUAGGUGUACCUCCAAAAAGUGAUAAAAUAAGGAAGAACAGGUUGAGAUGGAUAAAGGAAGUCGUCGUCAUUCAGUACUGUUGAGAAGGGUUGUCUUGUAAAGUGGGAGAGACAAAAAAGUAUAAGGCAACAAGGAUUAAAGUAUCGGUGUUGGUCUGCCAUAUCGGUUGGCUAAAUUGGAGGGCAUCGUAUCGUAUCAUAGAUACGCUAAGAUAUGCUAAAGAUCAAGGAUUAAAGUAUUAGUAUCGGUUGCCAUAUCGAUCAGCUAAAUAUAAGAUACAUAUCGGAAGCUAUCGUAUUGUAUCGGAGAUACUUUAAACCAUGCAAGGCAGACAGUUCAAAGGAAGAUAUGAUAUGGCCUUUUGUGGUGGACAUGUGGAAUUGGAUGUGUAGCCAGAACUGCUAGGAACACCAAAGACAUUAACAUUAAUUAAAAGAGAUUUAUAGGCUGAUAAUCCACUGUUGAUGUUCCUAUAUAGUGUCUUAGUGUGUUAUAGCAAGUAAUAGAAGUCCUUGUAAGCCACAUUUGACCAUUUUUACCAAUUAGGGAGGCUAAGUUAUACCUGGGUAAUUCAACCUGCACGUGAAUUUGAGUACGGCUUGUUUCAAGAUUCAUUGGGGGUUGCGGUUCUAGCGAGAGUCUAAUUUUAUUGAUAUGGUCCUUGACACAUGAAUUAGCUAGUGUUGGGAUUAUGAAGAGUAGAUUCUUAACAGUGUUGGUCAUUAACCCAAGUUUGCUCCAAAUAUUGAAGCUAGGCAUCUACUGUGCAUUUUUUAGCUGUUUCUGAACUCUUCAAAUUAGUUAUACUGAUAGAGCUACAAUCCAAAUCUCUGUUUUGAGGGACACAUUUCAUCGCAAUUGAAAGACCACAGUGGAAUAGGGAAAAUGAAUAUUGGGCUUAUCAGUUCAAGUUCAUUCUCAUCUUCUGUGUAUAAUAUCAUGUAUCAAGCCAUUAACAGAAAUUCAAACUUUUACGCUUAAGCAGGGACUGUCCCUACUUGGGCAACAUGAAUCACUAAAUACUGAUUCACACUUCUGCCUCAAGUCUAAAUUGAGCUAGUUAUUACUAGUGCCUAUAAAUUACAUAAUCUGUUUGGCUAUUUUUUUGGGGCAAGGUAACCCUAUCCGUCUAACAUUCCCAUUCCCAGACACAGCUGGGCGUGAAAAUACCAAGCGCACGCAGGGUCUGCUGGGUCCUUUCACACCCAGCUGACUCUGGGCGUGGGAAAUGUUAGAUGGACAGGAUUCUUUUCUACUUUCUUUUUUUUGGGGGGGGAUGUCUGAUUACCCAUAGUUGUCCCGGCGACUAGGUGACCCAACGCGUUGUAGGGGCGCCUAGGUGACAAGGCAUUUGCCUAGGCUUCAUAGGCAUGUAGUUUAUGACAAUAUGUAAUAUAGCAAUCAUAAUUGCUUACAUUAAAACAUUGAAGCCAUAUCAAUGCAAUAUGAUAUAAUUAUGCUGGGAAUGACCUAAUAUGAGAAAGCCAACAUAUAAUAAACAAUCCGAGGAUAUAAUAUAAGCAUACUCAUAAAAAUAAUAAAAAUAAUAAAAAUCAACGUAAACUCAUGAAAUGUCAACAAGGCGUGCAGUCGCCUUGGACCCAAGAAAGAGCUUGAACACCUAGGUGAUGCCUUGACAACUAUGCUGAUUACAUUGUGUUUGUGAUUCAUAAAUAUUUGGCAUAUAUUAUUUUGCUUUUAUAUUUAAGAUGCCUUUGUUAUGAUACUAUAUAGCAUUUUGAUCGUAACCAAGAGCCACCAAUCCUUAAUUGCUAAUCCUUUUUCCUUUUUAACAUGUAAUGUACAAUGUACUUAGUAAUAUGUUUCCAGAACCUGACGAAGUACUUAUGAACUUGGUGUUGAAUGGAUUGGUUGACAUUCAGGCUACUUGACCUAACCUUCAGAGAAGAACCGAGUCAAAGGUUGGUGCUCUAUGAUCAGCUAACAAGCCUAUUACUAAGAUGUGUUGCCAUGCUUUGAUGUGGUAGCACAUUUUCUUGUUGGGCAUGCUGAUGGUAAGAAGUCAAGUCCUAUGCCACUAUGGAAUUUUUUUACAUUUUACCUGGGUGGAUUGGAUGAUAUUCAGGUGAGAUAAGACUUGCGGGGUAAAAAAAUUCUUGUUUGAGUUUUGAUAAAUUUGAGAAUCUGUUAUUAGCUUGGUUGCCACACCCCGACCCUUUCUGUUGUUCCCUUUAUUUAAUAACUUUAGGGAUCCUUCCAUACAUUCAAGUAUAGACUGAGUAAUGCAACCUGGUUAACAUAAAAGUCAGUUCAGAUGCAAACCACAGGUAGGGAUCAUAGGACAUAAUCUUAGGACCAGAAUGGUGAGAUUUUUAAUAACUUGAGAUGGACUAAUCUGAUGGCCUUGAAAACCUGGUUGAGUAGCACUAUAGAGGAGAGGAAUAAUCCUUUAAAGUUUGGCUGAGAUCCAUAUGGAUCUGGUGAUAUGGCAGUGAUCAGCAAGGUGCGAGGUUUUGACCAUACUCGGAACCAAAAUAUUCUAUCAGUUGGGAUUUCAUUGCCAAAGUCAUGCUCCAGAUGUCCUUCCCUCCUUCCUUUGUCCACUGGAUCUACUCUUGUAUCUAUUCCCCCCUUUCUCUUUUCUCUCUCUUGAAGUCUUGUCUUGUUCCAUCCAGUCGGCCACUGAUCUCCACCUCAUCUCCCCUAUCCCUAAAUGUAAAUCCCUCUGUCUCUCCCACCUGGCCUUUGCUUAUGACAUUAUGAUCUUCUCUAAAGCUGACCCCCUCUCUAUCUCUGCCAUUAUAUCCUCCCUCCACUCCUUUGAAUCCCUCUCGGGCCUCCGCAUAAACCUUCUCAAAUCUGACCUUUGCCUCUCUGGUGUCUCUGCUGAGGCCCAAUCCCAUCUCCUCGGCACCACUGGCUUCUCCUUGGGCUCUUUAUCUGUCAAAUAUCUGGGCCUCCCUCUCAUCUCCUCUAGGCUCUCUGCCCAUCAUUGCUCACCUAUGCUUGAUCUCCUUCGAAAGAGGCUCCAACUCUGGAAAGGAAAGCUUCUUUCCUAUGUUGGGCGUCUCAUUCUAAUCAAAUCUGUCCUCCAAUCUCUCUACCUCGAUUGGUCUGGGAUCUUUGUCCUUCCUUCUUCUACUAUCAAAUCCAUUGAAGGUCUCUUCUGCUUCUUCCUCUGAAAGGGUUUGACUCUUCCAAGUUUCUCCAUCCUCUGUCUUGGAAAAAGGUAUGUCUGCCCAAGACCGAAGGAGGUCUUGGUAUCAGAAGAAUCAAAGAGGUCAACUCUAUGGGCAUCCUGAAGCUCAUUUAGAAAAUUUUGUCCAAGCAGCAUAGCAUCUCUACUCCUCUCUGCUUUCUCAUAACUCCCUUUGGACUUCCCCCAUUCCUUCUAACGCUUCCUGGAUUUGGUGUAAAAUUCUUAGCCUAAGACCUCUUGCCCUUACUGCCAUCUACCACAAAAUUUUGGCCUGGACGGUUUUCAAGGAUGGUUUCGAGGCCCAAAUGGCCAGGAAAUCCUAUUUUAGGUCUUCUAAACAUAGUGCAACUCUUAGAUUGUAAAAAUUAAACACAACUAGAACUUAGUUGGUAGUAUACACUAUACACAAGAAAAUCAAUUUUUUUUCUUUUGAAAAAAAAAAAAGGAAAUAAUAAAAAUUUGCAUACUAAAAAUUAAAUCCGAUUCCGUGAAGUCAUAGAUCUGCCUUGGUGUUUGACACAUAAAAAUUUGAAGGGCACCUUGGUGUUUGACAUAAUUUAUGGGAAAAGUGAUAUGCCUUCAACUUUAAAUCUUAUGCAAAAAUUUCACAAAUGCAGCAAAUCGUCACUGUUGAUGCUUUCCACUAUUUCCCAACAACUUGUUCCACACUUUAUAGAUUGAUUUGGCAAAAACUAACAGAAAACCAAGUUUUCACAAGCCUUUCAGUCGAAAGCAGUGAAACCAAUGAAAUGAGUUGAAAUUUUAACCCAUUUUGUUUGAAGCUAUACAUUUUAUAUUAAAGUUUGCAUCUUUUCGGUUGAAACAAUAUUGAAACUACACAUAUCACCGAAGCUUCAACCAAAACCUUGCACUUUGUAUUUGUCGCAUGGAAUUUCAUUUUGACAUCUUGCGAACCAAAAUAUUUCGUGAAAUUUUGGCUAACCUUGAACAUUGGUGAUCAAAAAAUAGAAACUUUAAAACAUAAUUAGCAAUUGACGAGAAAAUCCUUAUAUAAGUGAGUAAUUGUAGGUGUUACUGAUGGAAUGGUUGCUUGUUCUCCAUCCAACCUCUUAUGGAAAAAUGGAUUCCAUUUCCUUAGUAACUGUUGAAGUGUACUGAGAGAUAAUGGGAUAAUGCUGAGUUGUAGUCUGCUUUUAGUUAGUUGCCUUUAUCGUAAUUAGACUUGGACUCUUAAUAGGUUUCCUACUAAGAGUAGUUUACUUAUAUAAUAUAAGAAGAGGGCUAGUCCAUGAUAGAAACUACUCAUUAUGAUUCUAUCGUUCUUCUUGCUCAUUCUCUCCUUCCUCCAUCCUUCCUCCAUCUUAUUGUCCUCUCUUUCUCUCUCUAGGUUCUUUUCUUCUCUUAUUUUUCAUAGAUUCUGGUUUAUUUGAUUUUGUUUCAUGGUAUCAGAGCUAUGAAGAAGUAGAAGAAAAACAAAUUAGAAAAACUCGGAUAUAAGAAUGGAAACUGAGAAAUUUGGUAACUGGACUGUGAAUCUAUUGGCACGGUAGUAAGUGACUUCAGUUCAGCAGGUUUGUGAGUACAGUACACACAGGUAGCUAAGGAAUCAGUGUUGCUGGUCAAAUAAGACUCCAGAACCUCUAUGGUAGCCUGAACCGAGGACAAAGCGAAACCCAGGAUAGAAGUCAGAUGUGAAGUGAAUGAACCAGUGAAUCAGUAUAGAUUGCCAUCGAGAUUAGAAGAGCAAGUACUGAACUGAAUCAGCAAUGGUUGUUCUUACUUGGUAGGAUGUAAAAACUCAGAAACUGACCCUAUGAACUGAA